GACGAACGCUGGCGGCGUGCUUAACACAUGCAAGUCGAACGGUAAGGCCCUUCGGGGUACACGAGUGGCGAACGGGUGAGUAACACGUGGGUGAUCUGCCCUGCACUUCGGGAUAAGCCUGGGAAACUGGGUCUAAUACCGGAUAGGACUCCUGGCUUCAUGGUUGGGGGUGGAAAGCUUUUGCGGUGUGGGAUGGGCCCGCGGCCUAUCAGCUUGUUGGUGGGGGAAUGGCCUACCAAGGCGACGACGGGUAGCCGGCCUGGGAGGGUGACCGGUCACACUGGGACUGAGAUACGGCCCAGACUCCUACGGGAGGCAGCAGUGGGGAAUAUUGCACAAUGGGCGCAAGCCUGAUGCAGCGACGCCGCGUGAGGGAUGACGGCCUUCGGGUUGUAAACCUCUUUCAGCUAUGACGAAGCGCAAGUGACGGUAGUAGCAGAAGAAGGACCGGCCAACUACGUGCCAGCAGCCGCCGUAA
This 478-nucleotide ribosomal RNA is filed under the name uncultured bacterium. RNAcentral describes it as "partial 16S ribosomal RNA". It matches the Rfam family "Bacterial small subunit ribosomal RNA", at positions 28 to 523 of the family's 1533-position model. The record is from RNAcentral.